RNAcentral lists this transfer RNA (73 nucleotides) under Zootermopsis nevadensis. It matches the Rfam family "tRNA". From Rfam's summary of the family: Transfer RNA (tRNA) molecules are approximately 80 nucleotides in length. Their secondary structure includes four short double-helical elements and three loops (D, anti-codon, and T loops). Further hydrogen bonds mediate the characteristic L-shaped molecular structure. tRNAs have two regions of fundamental functional importance: the anti-codon, which is responsible for specific mRNA codon recognition, and the 3' end, to which the tRNAs corresponding amino acid is attached (by aminoacyl-tRNA synthetases). tRNAs cope with the degeneracy of the genetic code in two manners: having more than one tRNA (with a specific anti-codon) for a particular amino acid; and 'wobble' base-pairing, i.e. permitting non-standard base-pairing at the 3rd anti-codon position. Lineage: Eukaryota; Metazoa; Arthropoda; Insecta; Blattodea; Termopsidae. The record is from Rfam by way of RNAcentral.
GUCACGGUGGUCUAGUGGUCAGAACGCUGGCCUUGUAAUCCUGGGGUCUCGGGUUCGAUUCCCGGCGGUGCCC